This 253-nucleotide ribosomal RNA is filed under the name uncultured bacterium. Its description in RNAcentral is "partial 16S ribosomal RNA". It matches the Rfam family "Bacterial small subunit ribosomal RNA", at positions 524 to 776 of the family's 1533-position model. The record is from RNAcentral.
UACGAAGGGGGCUAGCGUUGCUCGGAAUCACUGGGCGUAAAGCGCACGUAGGCCGAUUGUUAAGUCAGGGGUGAAAUCCUGGAGCUCAACUCCAGAACUGCCUUUGAUACUGGCGAUCUUGAGUUCGGGAGAGGUGAGUGGAACUGCGAGUGUAGAGGUGAAAUUCGUAGAUAUUCGCAAGAACACCAGUGGCGAAGGCGGCUCACUGGCCCGAUACUGACGCUGAGGUGCGAAAGCGUGGGGAGCAAACAGG